This 1229-nucleotide long non-coding RNA is filed under the name Homo sapiens (human). Its description in RNAcentral is "HSALNT0144808". The record is from RNAcentral. Lineage: Eukaryota; Metazoa; Chordata; Mammalia; Primates; Hominidae.
AUGAGGGUGACCAACAGAAACUGAAGAAGGCAAGAAGACGGAUUCUCCCCUCAGUGGCUACAGAAGUAACCAGCCUCGCUGACACCUCAGUUUUGAGCCUGGCUUAAAUGUCUUAGAAUAUGAGGUCACUGAAGAUUCUGGCCAAGUAUGGGGAACUGGUACAACUGUAAAGUUUUCAUGAAGGCCUACCUGUCCCUGGAGGCCUGAGUCAACUGCCUCAUCCUCAGUGGGAAGCAGAAUGUAGGUGGGAAAGAAGAGCUCUGAAAUUACCUGGACCUGAUCCUGAUCCCUGGCUGCACUCCUGCUCUAUGCCUGAGAUGAUUCUAUUUCCUUUUAUCCUCUCAACAAGCCUGCAGAGAAUGGACUGUUAGUCCCACUUUACACAUGUGGAAUUUAGGGCUUAGAAAAUGAAAUGACUUGUCCAAGGUCCCAGAGUUAGGAAGCAGAGGUUCCCUAACCCUAUCUCUGUCUGCCUUGAAACCAAGGUUGCAGGUAUUGGUUGUUGAAGACAAAUUGAUGUACCUCACUUUUUGCAAUUAAGACCACUUGUAUCUUUUAAAAUUCAUGCCCUGAGUUAACUUUGACUCUUCCCUGUUCCUCACCUGCCAUAUCUGUCCUCUCUAUUCCACAGUUACCUUCUUCCCUUUAACCCUCCAGACUUGGCCUUAUAAAUAGGAAUAGUGAAAUAGGAGCUUUCAUCUUCCUAUUGAAUAGGAGCCAGAUGGAGGUAGCAUCACAUGCUGAUUACGUAGCUUACUUGCUGUUCAACCUCGGGCAAGUAAAUUAUUUCAAAUCUCUGAAGCCUUGGAUUUUAUAUCUGUACUUUGGAUAAUGAAACUUAUCUCACAGGGUUUUAAUAAGCAUUGAUUGAAAUAAUAGAUGCAAAGUACUCAGCACAGGAACCAGUCAAUCAGUUAUAGUCCGAACUGUUAAGCCCCAGGAUUUGAGCUUUUUCCCCAAACAGUACCAGUCAAUGGUAUUGUUAUCCCCAUUUUAAAGACAAAGAAAAUGAAACGCAGGGAGGUUAAGCAACAUAUUCAAGAGUAAGUAGGUGAUGGGGCAGAGAUACAAAGCCAGGCCCAAGGGGCUGCACAGCCUCUACUUUUUCCAUUAUAAGUCUCUUUGCUGGACUUCUGAAGUGGUUUUCCAAAAGACCCAGCUCCUCUCCCUACUUUGCAAGAGCAUCUUGCUACAGUGUAAACCUAACCUUAUCAUUCCCUUGCUCUGUG